AGAAGAAGGCAUCGCCGAUGCUACAUCUUAUGUUUCCUCACCUCGACGGCAAACAGGCGCCAAUCUAGCUUUAGCAGCUUGAGCCAUGCAGUAAUCUAAAAGCAUUCAGGCUUCGGUGGAACAUGAGACAAAAUGCAAAACCAUCAAUCCCAGUCGUGAAGGUUUUUAAGGAUUGAUUUCUAUUUAAGUAAACUUGCUACACUAUAUCAGCAAAAUUAGAUGCUUUCAUUCCAAUGAUUUAUCUCUAAUAUCACAAACUUAUAAGUACAGAGAAAUUUCUGUUAAAUUUCAGUUCUUUGAACCUUCUGAAAAAUUGUUUCAGAAAAAAUUUGCUACUGUUUAACUUAAAUUUCGGUUCUUUGAAAACUGUAUAAUCAUUGAGGAUGGAAAUAGCUCUUGCAUUCAUUUGAGGCUAUUGUUUAA
Molecule: long non-coding RNA, 423 nt
Organism: Dendrobium catenatum
Lineage: Eukaryota; Viridiplantae; Streptophyta; Magnoliopsida; Asparagales; Orchidaceae
Exons: 2
Source: RefSeq, a predicted model, not a curated record